RNAcentral lists this ribosomal RNA (1497 nucleotides) under uncultured bacterium. RNAcentral's name for it is "16S ribosomal RNA". It matches the Rfam family "Bacterial small subunit ribosomal RNA". The record is from RNAcentral.
GUUUGAUUCUGGCUCAGGAUGAACGCUGGCGGCAUGCCUAAUACAUGCAAGUCGAACGGAGUGAAGCCUUCGGGUUUCAUUCAGUGGCGAACGGGUGAGUAAUACGCAGGGAACCUGGCCAUGGCAGGGGGAUACACUCUGGAAACGGAGCAUAAGACCCCAUAGGCAGUAAGGCGGCAUCGCCUUACUGUUAAAGAAAGCUGAAAGGCUUUGGCGAUGGAUGGACCUGCGGUGCAUUAGCUUGUUGGUGAGGCAACGGCUUACCAAGGCGAUGAUGCAUAGCCGGCCUGAGAGGGCGGACGGCCACACUGGGACUGAGACACGGCCCAGACUCCUGCGGGAGGCAGCAGUAGGGAAUUUUCGUCAAUGGGCGCAAGCCCGAACGAGCAAUGCCGCGUGAGUGAGGAAGGUCUUCGGACUGUAAAGCUCUGUUGCCGGGGAAAAAGGGGAAAUGCAGGAAAUGGCAUUUCAUGGAUGGUACCCGGCCAGAAAGCCACGGCUAACUACGUGCCAGCAGCCGCGGUAAUACGUAGGUGGCGAGCGUUAUCCGGAAUGAUUGGGCGUAAAGGGUGCGCAGGCGGUCUGUUAAGUCUGAAGGCAAAGGGAUGAGCUCAACUCAUUUAUGAUUCAGAAACUGGCAGACUUGAGGACAGGAGAGGGCGGUGGAACUCCAUGUGUAGCGGUAAAAUGCGCAGAGAUAUGGAAGAACACCAGUGGCGAAGGCGGCCGCCUGGCCUGUGACUGACGCUGAGGCACGAAAGCGUGGGGAGCAAAUAGGAUUAGAUACCCUAGUAGUCCACGCCGUAAACGAUGAGGAGCAGGUGUUGGGAGUGAAAUCUCAGUGCCGAAGCCAACGCAGUGACUCCUCCGCCUGGGGAGUAUGCACGCAAGUGUGAAACUCAAAGGAAUUGACGGGGGCCCGCACAAGCGGUGGAGUAUGUGGUUUAAUUCGAAGCAACGCGAAGAACCUUACCAGGUUUUGACAUCGGAUGCGAAGGCGCAGAGAUGCGCUGGAGGCUAUCAUCCAGACAGGUGGUGCAUGGUUGUCGUCAGCUCGUGUCGUGAGAUGUUCAGUUAAGUCUGGCAACGAGCGCAACCCCCGUGGUAUGUUACUAACGCAUUUGGGCGAGGACUCAUAUCAGACUGCCGGUGACAAACCGGAGGAAGGCGGGGAUGACGUCAAAUCAUCAUGCCCCUUAUGACCUGGGCUACACACGUACUACAAUGGCGUCUACAGAGGGAAGCGACCCUGAGAAGGGAAGCGAAACCGGAAAAGGGCGUCCCAGUUCGGAUUGAAGUCUGCAACCCGACUUCAUGAAGAUGGAAUCGCUAGUAAUCGCGGAUCAGCAUGCCGCGGUGAAUACGUUCCCGGGCCUUGUACACACCGCCCGUCAAACCAUGGAAGCCGGCAACGCCCGAAGCCGGUGGCAUAACCUUUUAGGAGUGAGCCGUCGAAGGCGGGGCCGAUGACUGGGGUUAAGUCGUAACAAGGUACCC